AUUGAACGCUGGCGGCAGGCCUAACACAUGCAAGUCGAGCGAGAAAGGUCUUCGGACUGAGUACAGCGGCGGACGGGUGAGUAAAGCGUAGGAAUCUACCUGGUAGUGGGGGAUAACUUGGGGAAACUCAAACUAAUACCGCAUACGCCCUACGGGGAAAGCGGGGGACCGUUCGGGCCUCGCGCUAUCAGAUGAGCCUGCGUAGGAUUAGCUAGUUGGUGAGGUAAAGGCUCACCAAGGCGACGAUCCUUAGCUGGUCUGAGAGGAUGAUCAGCCACACUGGGACUGAGACACGGCCCAGACUCCUACGGGAGGCAGCAGUGGGGAAUAUUGCGCAAUGGGCGAAAGCCUGACGCAGCCAUGCCGCGUGUGUGAAGAAGGCCUUAGGGUUGUAAAGCACUUUCAAUUGGGAGAAAGUUGGUCGUUAAUAGCGGCCAGCCCUGACAUUACCUUUAGAAGAAGGACCGGCUAACUCCGUGCCAGCAGCCGCGGUAAAGUCGUACGA
Molecule: ribosomal RNA, 505 nt
Filed under: uncultured bacterium
Lineage: Bacteria
Description: bacterial SSU rRNA
Rfam family: Bacterial small subunit ribosomal RNA
Source: RNAcentral